This 265-nucleotide long non-coding RNA is filed under the name Homo sapiens (human). Its description in RNAcentral is "HSALNT0084052". Lineage: Eukaryota; Metazoa; Chordata; Mammalia; Primates; Hominidae. The record is from RNAcentral.
CCGUCUUCUGCGUCGCUCACGCUGGGAGCUGUAGAUCGGAGCUGUUCCUAUUCGGCCAUCUUGGCUCCUCCGCUGGUCUUGUUUAUUUUUCAUCGCACAUCAGAAUAUGUUCCUCAGAAAUAUAAAUGUGAAUAGGAGUAUUUGCAAAGAGCAAGAUUCUCCUGAUGUCCUAUCUCCACAACCUGGGAACUGCCUAAAGACAAGGACAUCAUCAUAGAUUUCUUAUGGUACAAUCUGAACAUCCAUGAAUAUCAUAUGUGCACAC